RNAcentral lists this ribosomal RNA (452 nucleotides) under Salmonella enterica subsp. enterica serovar Infantis. Its description in RNAcentral is "partial 23S ribosomal RNA". It matches the Rfam family "Bacterial large subunit ribosomal RNA", at positions 143 to 631 of the family's 2925-position model. Lineage: Bacteria; Pseudomonadati; Pseudomonadota; Gammaproteobacteria; Enterobacterales; Enterobacteriaceae. RNAcentral also lists the same sequence under 1 other name. The record is from RNAcentral.
UCACACUAUCAUUAACUGAAUCCAUAGGUUAAUGAGGCGAACCGGGGGAACUGAAACAUCUAAGUACCCCGAGGAAAAGAAAUCAACCGAGAUUCCCCCAGUAGCGGCGAGCGAACGGGGAGGAGCCCAGAGCCUGAAUCAGCAUGUGUGUUAGUGGAAGCGUCUGGAAAGGCGCGCGAUACAGGGUGACAGCCCCGUACACAAAAGCGCAUGUGCUGUGAGCUCGAUGAGUAGGGCGGGACACGUGGUAUCCUGUCUGAAUAUGGGGGGACCAUCCUCCAAGGCUAAAUACUCCUGACUGACCGAUAGUGAACCAGUACCGUGAGGGAAAGGCGAAAAGAACCCCGGCGAGGGGAGUGAAAAAGAACCUGAAACCGUGUACGUACAAGCAGUGGGAGCACAGGUUUACCUGUGUGACUGCGUACCUUUUGUAUAAUGGGUCAGCGACUUAU